This 252-nucleotide ribosomal RNA is filed under the name uncultured bacterium. RNAcentral describes it as "partial 16S ribosomal RNA". It matches the Rfam family "Bacterial small subunit ribosomal RNA", at positions 524 to 776 of the family's 1533-position model. The record is from RNAcentral.
UACGUAGGGUGCAAGCGUUAAUCGGAAUUACUGGGCGUAAAGCGUGCGCAGGCGGUGAUGUAAGACAGAUGUGAAAUCCCCGGGCUCAACCUGGGAACUGCAUUUGUGACUGCAUCGCUAGAGUACGGUAGAGGGGAUGGAAUUCCGCGUGUAGCAGUGAAAUGCGUAGAUAUGCGGAGGAACACCGAUGGCGAAGGCAAUCCCCUGGACCUGUACUGACGCUCAUGCACGAAAGCGUGGGGAGCAAACAGG